Long non-coding RNA from Poecilia reticulata (guppy), 3509 nucleotides. RefSeq lists it as uncharacterized. The record is from RefSeq and is a predicted model, not a curated record. NCBI's taxonomy places the organism in Eukaryota, Metazoa, Chordata, Actinopteri, Cyprinodontiformes, Poeciliidae.
GACAUAGGGGAUUUUUUAAGUUUUGCAUUCCCUCACAAAUCCUUUUGGAUUCCCGCGCAAUACAUUUUACAUUUCCUCCCUUGCAUUGAGAAAGCCGUUCAUUUUGGAGCAGCUCUGAAGAAAAGACAAACCCACGAAACAGCUCUCUAUUGGUCAAUAAACAGGAAAGAGAACAAUCCGUGUGCAGAUCRAUUGUGAAUGCCAGCGCUGUGGUCUUCUUCGGAGAGAGCCUCAUAAACCCUUUUCAAAAAACGUCAAACAACAUCCGUUUAACAUCCCAACAGCCACUAUCUAUACAUAAUCUAAACUGGACACAUUCCUCGCUGAUUGAUACCAGUUUGACUACGUAGAUCUAUCUUUUCAGAAGCUGUAAAUCUGUCCUAUUCUAGCCACCUUCUUUUGAUGGAAGACACCUAAAUAUCUCCAGAACAGGAGGAGUGAAACCUGGAGAGACGGUAUGAUGAAACACAAGAUGAAAAUAUGGCUACUGUUAAUUCUUGAUUUAGGUCAUCAGAACUGCAGGGAACUGAUAUUUGCUCACUAAACCUCCAUAUAACAGCUUUCUACUGAAAUUAUACUAUUGGACCAAACAACAUUGGGAGUCACUCCUGCAACAGUGUACAUUUAACAUUAUAACUUGCAUCUAAGUAUGACAGUUCUUCGGAUAGAUGAACUUUUUGAUAAAUGGGUUGGCAAUUAUGUAAGAUUAAUCUUGUGGAACUAUUUUAAAGUAUUCAAGGUGAUGUAGUUUUAUUUAUAAAGGACCUUUCAGCGAAAAGACCAUUCGAAAUGCUUAAGAAGGGUUAACAUCUUCUAGGCUAGGAGACAAAACAUUUCACGGAGGAACAACAUUCAACAAGCUUGCUGAAAGACUUGGUUAAAAUUUAAGAAGUAAACUUAAGUUGAAGCUUCUUUUACCUAUGGCAUAAAAUCUACCCAUCACAACUGAAAAUUAGAGACCAUGUAAAAUAGUCGAAUGUAGAACAAAACUGCAACACUUUAUUUAAUUCCAAAUUAUAUACCUGUUCAAUUUAAAUCGAUGGGAAUUACAUAAACUGUAUGCGAUCUAAUAGGAAACAAACUACUGACAGGUUAAAGUACAACUUUUAAAUCAAAAUUCUUACUUAGCCUUUAAUAAAUAAAUGGACAUAUUAUGAUAUUCUAGAUGAGUAGCAUAAUAUUAAAUUGAAGGUGAAUCGGGAGAUAAGAUUUUCUGAAAGUUAUGUUAUAAGAUGUACAGGAAAAAGGUUUUCAUCACGAGCAUUUGUAAACUAGUUUGAGAACUAUGAAUACUUGGCGGUUGUAGGAAAAAAUAAAUAUAAUAUCAUAAAAGCUUUAUAUAUAUAUAUAUAAACAUGAUAAAAUCAAAUAAUGUAAAUAGAUAAAAAAAAUAAAUAGUUGAUGGAUAUCUGAUUUGGACAAUUAAAUUGACAAUUUCCUUUUCCAUAGUGGGGUAGUCCUGGUCAUAGGGGGGUAUUUCACACUUUACACCUAGCCAUUACAUAAACACUGUGUGAUUCUGGUAGAUAUAAUUCAUGUACUAGUGUGAAUAGUUGAGCUUUGCAACGCUGGAUUGAACUAAAGGUUAUCCAGCAUAUCUGACCAGGCAGUGCUUCACAUAGACACAAACAAAUUAGAUGUUCUUAGAUCUUUUGAGUGAAGAUAGAGGUCUUCCAGAGGAGAAGGGGGUUUCUGAUUCUAUCGCUGUUCACCUUUGCUUCUUUCCUUGUUUUCUCUUGCACGAAAACCCUGAUCAAUAAAUUUAUAUAAUCUCAAACAUAACUCAAUCCCAUUUAAUGUAUAUUCCCAUCAGACCUAUGUUUCAGAACCUGCAAUCAGGUAGAGCAGAUUGCCCAGGAGAAUGGCUGAAUCUGAGUACUGGCUGAGUGAGUAGAAGCAACAAUAUCCUUUGAGUUGAGAAUUGAUCAUUCAUAAUUGUUAUAUCCUUCAUGAAAUGUUCCUUAAGGUUGUGAUUGUUACUGUGACGUUGUUUGGUAGUUAUUUUAUUGAUGUGUUUAUAUUUUUUGUUAUUUUGCGUCUCGGUGGGGUCGUGGUUCCUGGACAACCAUGUGGACUGUGAACAAGCRGACUGUGAUAACUGGGGGAACAGACACCAUUAGGAUGCAAAGGUGAUGUCAUUAUUAUGCAUCUACAUGGAUAAUUUGAUCCUGUAGUGACAUGUUCAGAUCGACCACAUUGGAUAUUGUGUGAACUGUUUUCUUUUUAUCAAAUUCCUUUAUUGUAUUGUCACAGGUUUUGUUUAAUUCAGAUUUACAAUGUUCUUUCACUGAGUGAUAGUGGGGUGGACUGUAGAAGAUGGUAAUAAUGACAUGGAUAUGUAUAUGGAAGGUCCUCAUGCGCAGGUCACAUGUGAGUUAUUAAUGGAACUUUAGAAUAAUGGACGCAUCAAGGAUUUCUCCUUCUGUGCAGUAAUGAAGACCUGUUAAUUGGAAUAUAUUGUACUAUAAGAUACUGCUCAGUUUUCCUGUCUCCUCAGGGCGACCCAGAGUGACUGGCAGUUCAGGGACCCUCUGUGUGUUGGACUCAGAGACUCAUGGACAUGGAGAAUGUGUUGGGGUCCUGAACCUGGACAGUGAGAAGGCAGAGUAAUAAAAUCAAAGAAACAUCAAACCAGUACAAGAAAUUGCUUCUGCGACCCGAGGACAGGAACUGUUCUACACAACACUACACUGCAUUGCUGCUGAGGAGUCAAGCCUUACUAUUACUUGGUUCAAACCAAGCCGAUUUGUCCUAUGAUGAUGUUGAGUAGAAAUCAUUGUAGGUACCAUGGUCAUUGAUUUCAUUGGUGCCUGAGGGUGGUUGCCGGGGAGGAACCAUAGGAUAAUUUUUUCCCUUGGAUAACAAGAUUGUCAGAGAGGGUUUUUUGAUCCUAUACCAAUGGAACCUAUGACCAUGGGAGAGCAAUGCAAUACAAAUUAACUAGAAAAUUAGUGUACUUAUUUUAGGGGAGAAUGUAGAAGAAUAUAAUUAUGUUAAUAGUUAAAAGUUAUGUUGAUUCACAUUAAGAUAUGUUUUUACUGAAUAGGGAUGUACUGUGUCGAAUGUACUGGGUCAAUCUGACCCAGUACAUUUUAAGUUGUUGUGCAAGAAGCUUCUGGCAAACGUCCUUCCUGCUUGCGUGCGAAGAAGUCGGGCCGAACUGGAAAAUAAUAUUUGUUUAGACUAACAAUUUGACUAAUGGUCCUCUGAGGGAGCAGAUUUAACUUCCACGAGGUCAGCCUCUGAAUUCUCGGAACUUCCAACACACACACAGUGUAAAACGGAGCCAGAAGCAAGAUUCAGAACGUCAUUGGUCAGAUGCUUUCCAAUACACAAUAGCAGACUGAAACGGUAUAAAUGCUCGAAGUCAGAAGCAAGAACCAAGACAUUUUGGAUUCUGAGACGAUGAAAAUGAGAUGAUGAAAAUGUAAUAUGUGAUUCCGCAGAUGUGCAUUAAAUGUCUUCCUGUUUGCCUGUGAGCCGAAGAGAAUGGAGUUUGUGUAUAGUCU